AUGCCUCUUCCUCUACCUCUCGGACGACGCCUAGCUACGGCGCUCAAUGGCCGCCCGUGCGACAUCCUGCAUCUGGCGCGGGAGCGUGUGGUGGUGACGAGCCGAGCCGUCUUUGUGGCGGCGUCCGGACGGGGCCGGGCGCAAGGCGGAGCUGCGGCCGGCGACCCGGCACCAGCGCAUGCCCGGCGGUGGGACCAUCUUCGCCGUGGCCGGUGGGGGGUUGGGCGGCAGCAAGCGGUGCAGCGAGGGGAGGCGCACGGGCGAGAGGGGUGGGGCUCUUGCUAG
Molecule: ribosomal RNA, 285 nt
Filed under: Triticum aestivum (bread wheat)
Lineage: Eukaryota; Viridiplantae; Streptophyta; Magnoliopsida; Poales; Poaceae
Description: partial small subunit ribosomal RNA
Source: RNAcentral